GGAUUGCCUUAGUAACGGCGAGUGAAGCGGCAAAAGCUCAAAUUUGAAAUCUGGUACCUUCGGUGCCCGAGUUGUAAUUUGGAGAGGGCAACUUUGGGGCCGUUCCUUGUCUAUGUUCCUUGGAACAGGACGUCAUAGAGGGUGAGAAUCCCGUGUGGCGAGGAGUGCGGUUCUUUGUAAAGUGCCUUCGAAGAGUCGAGUUGUUUGGGAAUGCAGCUCUAAGUGGGUGGUAAAUUCCAUCUAAAGCUAAAUAUUGGCGAGAGACCGAUAGCGAACAAGUACAGUGAUGGAAAGAUGAAAAGAACUUUGAAAAGAGAGUGAAAAAGUACGUGAAAUUGUUGAAAGGGAAGGGCAUUUGAUCAGACAUGGUGUUUUGUGCCCUCUGCUCCUUGUGGGUAGGGGAAUCUCGCAUUUCACUGGGCCAGCAUCAGUUUUGGUGGCAGGAUAAAUCCAUAGGAAUGUAGCUUGCCUCGGUAAGUAUUAUAGCCUGUGGGAAUACUGCCAGCUGGGACUGAGGACUGCGACGUAAGUCAAGGAUGCUGGCAUAAUGGUUAUAUGCCGCCCGUCUUGAAACACGGACCAAGGAGUCUAACGUCUAUGCGAGUGUUUGGGUGUAAAACCC
Molecule: ribosomal RNA, 622 nt
Filed under: Saccharomyces cerevisiae (brewer's yeast)
Lineage: Eukaryota; Fungi; Ascomycota; Saccharomycetes; Saccharomycetales; Saccharomycetaceae
Description: eukaryotic LSU rRNA
Rfam family: Eukaryotic large subunit ribosomal RNA
Source: RNAcentral